GGGCAAUGGGCGAAAGCCUGACCCAGCAACGCCGCGUGAGGGAUGAAGGCCUUCGGGUCGUAAACCUCUUUUCUCAGGGAAGAAAAAAAUGACGGUACCUGGGGAAUAAGUCUCGGCUAACUACGUGCCAGCAGCCGCGGUAAUACGUAGGAGGCGAGCGUUAUCCGGAUUUAUUGGGCGUAAAGAGAGCGUAGGCGGUUUGUCAAGUCGGAUGUGAAAUCUCCCGGCUCAACUGGGAGGAGUCAUUCGAUACUGAUGGGCUAGAGUGCAGCAGGGGAAAACGGAAUUCCCGGUGUAGUGGUGAUAUGCGUAGAUACCGGGAGGAACACCAGAGGCGAAGGCGGUUUUCUAGGCUGUUUCUGACGCUGAGGCUCAAAAGCGUGGGGAGCGAACAGGAUUAGAUACCCUGGUAGUCCACGCCGUAAACGAUGGACACUAGGUAUAGGGAGUAUCGACCCUCUCUGUGCCGAA
Molecule: ribosomal RNA, 471 nt
Filed under: uncultured Chloroflexota bacterium
Lineage: Bacteria; Bacillati; Chloroflexota
Description: bacterial SSU rRNA
Rfam family: Bacterial small subunit ribosomal RNA
Source: RNAcentral